CUCUAACCAUUCACCUGGCUUCCUUGAGCUUCAGGCAAAAAUAUCUCUAAUGAGACAGAGAGGGGUAUUUUUUUUAUAAAUCCCUACAAAUCCCUCUCUGUCUCAUUAGAGAUAUUUUUUCCAGAAGCUCAAGGAAGCAAGGUGAAUUGUUAGAGU
Molecule: non-coding RNA, 156 nt
Organism: Pelobates cultripes (western spadefoot toad)
Lineage: Eukaryota; Metazoa; Chordata; Amphibia; Anura; Pelobatidae
Source: the annotation of a GenBank genome assembly